GAGGAGGUAAGUUAAAUUAAACUGUCUGGUUCAUACUCAGAAAAUGCUUACGAGUCUUCCUUA
Molecule: transfer RNA, 63 nt
Filed under: Cichlidogyrus mbirizei
Lineage: Eukaryota; Metazoa; Platyhelminthes; Monogenea; Dactylogyridea; Ancyrocephalidae
Description: tRNA-Met
Source: RNAcentral